Molecule: ribosomal RNA, 332 nt
Filed under: uncultured bacterium
Lineage: Bacteria
Description: bacterial SSU rRNA
Rfam family: Bacterial small subunit ribosomal RNA
Source: RNAcentral
CACGCAGGCGGUGCUGCGCGUUUCGCGUGACAGCGGGUGGCUUAACUGCCCGAGGGUGCGAAAGACGGCAGGACUGGAGGGCCAGAGAGGGACACGGAAUUCCGGGUGGAGUGGUGAAAUGCGUAGAGAUCCGGAGGAACACCAAAGGCGAAGGCAGUGUCCUGGCUGGUGACUGACGCUGAGGUGCGAAAGCCAGGGGAGCGAACGGGAUUAGAUACCCCGGUAGUCCUGGCCGUAAACGAUGACCACCAGGUGUGGGAGGGCUCGACCCCUUCCGUGCCGGAGGCAACCCAUUAAGUGGUCCGCCUGGGGAGUACGGUCGCAAGAUUAAA